Molecule: ribosomal RNA, 494 nt
Filed under: uncultured soil bacterium
Lineage: Bacteria
Description: bacterial SSU rRNA
Rfam family: Bacterial small subunit ribosomal RNA
Source: RNAcentral
AGAUUGAACGCUGGCGGCAGGCCUAACACAUGCAAGUCGAGCGGUAGAGAGGUGCUUGCACCUCUUGAGAGCGGCGGACGGGUGAGUAAUGCCUAGGAAUCUGCCUAGUGGUGGGGGAUAACGUUCGGAAACGGACGCUAAUACCGCAUACGUCCUACGGGAGAAAGCGGGGGACCUUCGGGCCUCGCGCCAUUAGAUGAGCCUAGGUCGGAUUAGCUAGUUGGUGAGGUAAUGGCUCACCAAGGCGACGAUCCGUAACUGGUCUGAGAGGAUGAUCAGUCACACUGGAACUGAGACACGGUCCAGACUCCUACGGGAGGCAGCAGUGGGGAAUAUUGGACAAUGGGCGAAAGCCUGGUCCAGCCAUGCCGCGUGUGUGAAGAAGGUCUUCGGAUGUAAAGCACUUUAAGUUGGAGGAAGGGUUGUAACUUAAUACGUUAGCUAACUUUGACGUUACGACAGAAUAAGCACGGCUAACUUCGUGCCAGCAGCCG